This 2191-nucleotide long non-coding RNA is filed under the name Canis lupus familiaris (dog). RNAcentral's name for it is "lncRNA (ENSCAFG00845007727.1)". Lineage: Eukaryota; Metazoa; Chordata; Mammalia; Carnivora; Canidae. The record is from RNAcentral.
CUCUAGGUGCCCAGAUGGGACUCCCCUGCUGCAACGUGGCCAUGACUGGUCAGCAAAGGGCCGGGGUCUUCCAAGGCCGAGCUGUCGGGACCAAGCCUGACUUCAUCAGUGGGGAAGGUGGGGGGAGUGUGACUCAGAGCCACCAUCGGGGCUCUUUUUUUUUUAGAUGUUAUUUUUUUAAUAAAUAGAAGCCACACCACUUCGUCUGUUACAGCAAAUGAGAGGCAAGAAUCGAAGAGGGCCCCAGAAAGCAUUUUCAUCCACAAAAAUAACAGAAAGGACAAGCAUCUUCACCACCCAUGCCUCUGGUUAGUUCUUUCGACUGCUGUUCCCCUACCCACAUCAGUAUGUUGUUUCCAGGAUGGGACUGUCUUCGAGUCUUCUACUGGUUGGGACGCUAGUCUAUCAGCUUGCCUUAACCACAGAAUGGAAGUCUCUAACUUAGCUGAGAAACCUGGACAGGUCUUCUUUGAUUUCAGCCUCAUCCCAAGGCCCAUGAAUGUUUUCUUUAAAAACCUGCAGGCGAAGAGGUAGAAAGGGUGGAGACAAGAGAUGGAAACCAGCAGAAGGGCAAAGAGGAUGGCUCCCACAGCACCAAUGGACAGUAAACCUCCCAAGGCUGAAAAUGCGAAAAGCAACGUGACUCCCACAUAGCUGCAUGGAGUACGUGCCUUCAGUUUCUUCUCUAACAUGGGCCACAGGGCAAAAAUCUGGAUGGCAAAUGUCACCAUGAUGAAAGCAUGCAGGGACCAGGCCAACACCAUCGGGGGCCCUUGGGCUUUCCGUCCACGAGUGAAAAUCAGCCUGGAGAAAAUCGGUACGAUGCUGCGGUGGGAGAAAUUCAGCGCGCUUAGCUGUCCCACUCCUCUGGCUGCUACUGUGUUAAGGACCUGGUGCCAUCUGAGAGUCUGUGCCAUUUGCAUCAUCUGGAGGGAGAGGAGAACCGGGGGCACUGCAGCUGGGUGAUUUUCCCUUUCUUGGCCUUCCAGCUCCCUAGUCGCCUCUGUUUCAAAGGCUUGCACUGCCAAAGCCUAAGCCACAUCCGGCCCCAGGGAGGAGGGGAGGGAGGAGGGACGACUCUAGCCCUGAUCCACAAGGAAGAGCCCUGGGGCCCUGGAACAACUCCUGGGUGGAAAGUGCUUCUGUUACCUUGCCGACUGGUGUCUGAAAAGAACCUUAUUUUUCUCUCUAGUGGCUCCAGAAGAGGAAAUUAAUUUCUAGUUUUGAAUCCAUCUUCGCCUUUAUGUAAAUUUUAAAGCUUUUAUCAAAAAUAACACGUGCACAUGGCUUCAAAAUACAAUAGUGCAAAAGGGCUUAUAAAGGAAAGGAACAUUUACUUAUCCCUCCCCUCCUCAGCUCCAGUCCCAUUUUUAACUCAUUUCUUCUGAUGACUACUCCAUCUCUCUAAAUAUAUAAAAUCAGGACGCCUGGGGGGCUUAGUUGGUUAAGCAUCUGCCUUCGGCUCAGGCCAUGAUCCCAGGGUCCUGGGAUGGAGCCUGGGAUGGAGCAACGGGCUCCCUGCUCAGUGGCAGGGGUGGGGUGGGGGGUGGGGGGUGUCUGCUUCCCCUCUGACCCUCCCCCCUCCUUGUGUUUGCUCUCUCUCUGCCAAAUAAAUAAAUAAAAUCCUUUUUAAAAAUUAAGUUUAAAAUGUAUAUACAUAAUCACAUAUAAAAUACAUUGACCUUGACCUUCCACUAGCACACGUGGGAAUUUACUUCACUUCUCUUUCCUCCUUCCUUCUUUUUGCCUCCCACUCAGUUACAUCAAACCAUCAUUUUAGUUUCCUCCAUGAGCUAUUGCAUGUUAGGUUGUUUUCACUUCUAGUAAGAAAAAAAGUCAAUUCCAAAUAUUUAAGCAGUGAGGAAAAUGUCUUUUCCCACAAUAAGAUGCUCCAAGAUGGGAGAACAGUAUAAGGUUAAUUAAUUCGGAUAAUGUCUCAAGGCGUAGGAGAGGCUGGCUACUUCUCCCCCUAAUGCCUGCCAGCAGGCCAGCGCAGAUUUCCCCUUGUGUCUCUGGCAAGAGCCAGCCACGUUCCCACACCCCAGAAAUGACAAGGAAUGUGGAGUUACCAUGAUUUAGAUGAAUCUUGAUUUACCCCAGUCAUUCCUCAGCACCUGAUUCCAAAGGAGAACGUUGGACAGAUGAAGACAAUCUGGGCUCUGGAUACAAUCGGGGCUCUGCAAACAAGCAA